This is a ribosomal RNA of 437 nucleotides. It matches the Rfam family "Bacterial large subunit ribosomal RNA", at positions 1852 to 2567 of the family's 2925-position model.
GCAAUACCUGCCCAGUGCGAAAUAUUACUGUAAACGGCCGCCCUAGCGUGAGGGUGCUAAGGUAGCGAAAUUCCUUGCCUUUUGAUUGUAGGCCUGCAUGAAUGGUUUAACGAGGGUUUAACUGUCUCUAAAUUUUUUAUUGAAAUUGUACUGAAGGUGAAGAUACCUUCAUUAAAAAGUUAGACAAAAAGACCCCGUGCAACUUUGAAAAUUGACUUUAUUCAGGAGUAAAAGAUUUUUAGGUGGGGCGCCUAGAAAGUAAGCCUAACCUUUCUGAGUAACUAACUCUUUCCGGAUUUGACCCGAUUAUAUUCGAUCAUAGGAGAAGUUACGCCGGGGAUAACAGGCUAAUCCUUUAGUAGAGUUCGUAUUGGCUAAAGGGAUUGGCACCUCGAUGUUGAAUCAGGGAUAAUAGCUUCAAGGCGUAGAGGCUUUGA